AACGUUCCCAGGAAGCAACAACUCAGCCCAGGCAUGGGCUAGUCGGAGCCUGGAGAUCUCAGCUGGGAUCCUGGCGCCUGGGGAAGGGCCCGGCUCUAAAAAUAAACUGCUCGCCUCAGCCUGGGAGCAGCCGUGCGAGCCUGGCGAGCAGGGGCUGCUGCCCGCCACUCCGGGCAGAUGACGGCGGGCCUGGCCCAGCCAGAGUGCCCCCCUCUCUGGCAGCUGGCCACUGGGACAGGCUGGUGGCAGCUGGCAGCCAGGAAUAUUUGACCCCCGACUCCCGGAGGUGCCCCCCCACCCCCAACCGCCCUGCCGCACACGUGAAUACACAUAUGCCCCAACCUGGGACGUGCUCCGCAGAGCGUGGCCAGACUGCUCCCGGGGACCAGCCGGUGAGGGGCAGUGGGGACGCCAGGAGGUGCCCUCCGCAUGCUGGACAGUGACAAGUCUCAGAACAGGGCUACUCUGAUUGGAGGAGAUGGGACGGGAACAAGGUGGGUGCCAGCCUGGCCUCCCACUGACUCCCCCACAGUGGAAACCCCCACGUCCGGAGCUCUCCUGUUCACCACGGGAACACAGUGCGACCCCCUCCCCCGCAUCGACUAUCUCCUCUAGAAACCCACCUGGACCUGGGCGCAGCCAGCCCUCCCGCCAGUCCUGAAUCCUGGCUGCCCCGCUGGGGUGAGCCAGGGACCCGGGUCUGCCUUCUCCGGCCGGCCUUCCUUCCGGGAGCCGUCCCUGAGCCUGCCCUGGCGGGAGUCCGCUGGGCACCACCUGGUGGAACAGAGAUGGAGUCUAGGAACUGCCAGCCCAGUGGGGAUGUCACCCACGACCGUGGGGACUCUCCGGGGUCUCCCAGGAGGCUCCUCGGAGUCCCCGGGGGCCCCCCUGGGCCUGCCCCCCUCAGCCGCCUCCCCCGUGUGGGUCAGUCCCCAUCUCUCUUCCCACGUCCAUUGGUCUCUUUUUCUCUCUAGACCCUCUGUCUCUUCUCUCAGCCUCGAGUGGCC
This 1007-nucleotide long non-coding RNA is filed under the name Equus caballus (horse). RNAcentral's name for it is "lncRNA (ENSECAG00000060248.1)". The record is from RNAcentral. Lineage: Eukaryota; Metazoa; Chordata; Mammalia; Perissodactyla; Equidae.